GACGAACGCUGGCGGCACGCCUAACACAUGCAAGUCGAACGGAGUUAUGAGAGCUUGCUUUCAUAACUUAGUGGCGGACGGGUGAGUAACACGUGAGCAACCUACCUUUAAGAAAGGGAUAGCUUCUGGAAACGGAUGGUAAUACCUUAUAACAUAGAAAUACGGCAUCGUAUUUUUAUCAAAGAUUUUAUCGCUUAAAGAUGGGCUCGCGGCUGAUUAGCUAGAUGGUGAGGUAAUGGCUCACCAUGGCGACGAUCAGUAGCCGGACUGAGAGGUUGAACGGCCACAUUGGGACUGAGACACGGCCCAGACUCCUACGGGAGGCAGCAGUGGGGGAUAUUGCACAAUGGAGGAAACUCUGAUGCAGCGAUGCCGCGUGGAGGAAGAAGGUCUUCGGAUUGUAAACUCCUGUUAUCGGGGACGAAGAUGACGGUACCCGACGAGGAAGCUCCGGCUAACUACGUGCCAGCAGCCGCGGUAAAGUCACGUCG
Molecule: ribosomal RNA, 491 nt
Filed under: uncultured bacterium
Lineage: Bacteria
Description: bacterial SSU rRNA
Rfam family: Bacterial small subunit ribosomal RNA
Source: RNAcentral